This is a non-coding RNA of Oncorhynchus mykiss (rainbow trout), 1600 nucleotides long. NCBI's taxonomy places the organism in Eukaryota, Metazoa, Chordata, Actinopteri, Salmoniformes, Salmonidae. The record is from RefSeq and is a predicted model, not a curated record.
GAGAGAGAGAGAGAGAGAGAGAGAGAGACAGAGAGAGCGACAGAGAGAGAGACAGAGCGAGAGAGAGAGAGAGAGAGAGAGAGAGAGAGAGAGAGAGAGUGUGUGUGGAGGGAGAGAUUAGCCUACUGCUGCUGUGACUGCUGCUCUACCAGAAACAGGGUGACAGCUAGGAAGAUAAUGCCCCAGAAUGUGGUCCUGGAUGGGCCAGCCCCUUGGGGCUUCAGGCUCAAUGGAGGGAAGGACUUCAACCAGCCCCUGACCAUCACCAGGGUGACGCCUGGCAGCAAAGCCUCGCUGGCCAACCUGUGCCCCGGUGACAUCAUCCUGGCCAUAGAGGGUGUGAGUACAGAGUGCAUGACUCACAGCGAGGCCCAGAACAAGAUCAAAGACCCUGCCUCCCGCCUCGGCCUCAAGAUUGAGAGGCCUGAGACCAAAAUGUGGUCCCCCCAAGUCACAGAGGAUGGGAAAGCAAACCCAUUCAAGCUCAAUUUAGAGGCAGAACAACAAGACCUGGGCUACUUUGAACACAAGUUUAACGUCAGGCCUAAGCUCUUCUUACCUGCAGGCCAAAGCGAGUGCCCUCCUCCGCAAGGCCUGAUGGGAAAUGGCCAUCAGACGGUGGUCACCCUCUCCCCCCCUGACCCUCCCCUGUCUGCUAACUCCGGCACAGACCAACCCCUGGCCCCCAGUGCUCAGUAUAACUCCCCCAUUAACCUGUACUCUGAGGCCAAUGUCUCGGCCGCUCAACAGCUAGCUCAGGUCACCUCAGUAGAGGAACAGGUCCCUCUAAGUGGUAAGACACUGUCCUCCAUUAAGGAGUCUCAUGUGUACCGGAUGCUCCAGGAUGACCAGGAUAGGCCACAUGAACCACGUCAGUCAGGCUCCUUUAAGGCUCUGCAGGAACACGUGGAGACUGAUGGAGCAAAGCCGUUGAUUACUAGAAGUGUAAGAGCUCCGGUGACAAAGCAUCCUACACCUGCGGGAUCGCUACAGAAACUACCCCUCUGUGACAAGUGUGGAAACGGCAUAGUAGGCACAGUGGUGAAGGCCAGAGAAAAGUUCCGCCACCCUGGAUGUUUCGUGUGCUCCGACUGCAAAGUCAACCUGAAGCAGAGGGGCUACGUCUUUGUGGAGGGGCAGCUGUACUGCGAGACCCACGCCCGCGCCCGGACGAUACCUCCAGAGGGACACGAUGUCAUCACCGUUUACCCCACGGCUUGAGACCAGUGGACUGGGAAAUGCACAGACCUGUCCAAAUGGAGCAAGAACUGUAAUUUGCCACUCCCCUUCUCAUACAGAGUAUUUCAGGACAAAAUACAUGAUAUAUGAUAUAUAUAUAUAUAUAUAUACAAGCUGCACUGUGGAUAGAUAGGCCAUACUACAGUGGCGUUCAUCAACUUAACACCCUGAACUGAACAUAUCAAUAUCUGUGGACAUUAUGAUGCAAUUGUGAAUUUGCUUAUCACCGUCAAAAACGCAACCAUUUAUCUUUUUAAAAAGGAAUAUGUUUGUUAUGCCUUGUGAAUACCAACUGUGCCUUGUGAUUUAAAGUUUUUUUUGAAUAUGUUACCAUUGGUAAUAAAAACAGAAGACAAACAUA